This 75-nucleotide transfer RNA is filed under the name Cordylochernes scorpioides. Its description in RNAcentral is "tRNA-Thr". Lineage: Eukaryota; Metazoa; Arthropoda; Arachnida; Pseudoscorpiones; Chernetidae. The record is from RNAcentral.
UGUAAAGGGAUGGGAAUCGAACCCACGACCUUCCGCUUACCGGGCAGAUGCCAUGACCACUAGGCUACCCUGGAC